This 3208-nucleotide long non-coding RNA is filed under the name Homo sapiens (human). Its description in RNAcentral is "HSALNT0384288". Lineage: Eukaryota; Metazoa; Chordata; Mammalia; Primates; Hominidae. The record is from RNAcentral.
CUUCAGCGCGCUGCCUGCCUGCCCAGGGCCUUCCCGGAGAGCAGGUGACGGCGGCCUCCGGGCAUGGAGCUCGCGCUGACGAAAGGUUCUGGAAGCCGCCGUAAAAAGUAAUCAAGAAACGGGUGACAGGACUUUUCGUAAGACAUUUAAUUUUUACCCAGAGUAUCCGAAACAUUGCCGUGUCAAUCUCAGUGCGAUGGGAGACUGCCGGCCCCAAGGAGCUGCUCGUCCUUCUGCCGAGUUCCGGCCCGGACCCGCGGAGGAGGAGACCGCCGCGCCGGAGCUCGGACCUGACGUUUUUGUGAAGCACAGGGGGCGUGGGAGGGACCGGAUCAAUGCGGCACUCAACAAAACCUGUUUUUAAAAGAGUCGUGCUGUGUCGCCCAGGCUGGAGUGCAGUGACGCGAUCUCGGCUCACUGCAGCCUCCACCUUCCGGGCUCAAGCGAGCCUCCCGCCUCAGCCUCCUGAGUAGCUGGGAUUACAGGCACACACCUCCAGCUCGGCUGUUUUAUUUAUUUAUUUUUUUUUUGAGACGUAAUUUAGCUCAUGUUGACCAGGCUGGAGUGCAGUGGCGCGAUCUGGGCUCACCGCAACCCCCGCCUCCCGGGUUCAAGCGAUUUUCCGCCUCAGCCUCCUGAGUAGCUGGGGUUGCAGGCAUGCGCCACCACGCCCGGCUAAUUUUGUACUUAUAGUAGAGACGGGGUUUCUCCAUGUUGGUCAGGCUGGUCUCGAACUCCCGACCUCAGGUGCUCCGCCCGCCUUGGCCUCCCAAAGUGCUGGGAUUACAGGCGUGAGCCACCUCUCCAGGGCCAAAAGCCUUUUAUUGGAGUACUGGGUAACACAUUCAGAAGAGGGUGCAUAGCUUAGGCGCUCCGUGAAUUUUCACAAACUGAACAUACACCCAGGUAGCCAACACCCCCAGCAAGCCCCAGAAUCCCCUCAUGCUUGCUUUCUGCCACUAUCAAGCAGUUUGCUUUCUUUCAGAUUUUUAAGUUUUGAAAUAAUUAUUGAAAUGUACAGGGAGAAGUCUGGGUUGGUGGUUCUAACCUGUAGUCUCAGCUACUAGAGAGGCUGAAGGGGGAAGAUGGCUUUAGCCCUGGAUUUCUAGACUAGCCUGGACAACAUAGCAAGACCUCAUCUCUAUUUGUUUUUGAGACAGAGCCUCGGUCUGUCACCCAUGCUGGAGCGCAGUGGACCUCCGCCUCCCGGGUUCAAGUGAUUCUUCUUUCUCAGCCUCCCGAGUUAUUUGGGAUUACAGGAACAAGGUCUCACCAUGCUGCCCAAGCUGGUCUGAAAACUCUUGUCCUCAGGCAGUCCUCCCACCUCGGCCUCCCAAAGAUCUGAGAUUACAGGCAUGAGCCACCACACCUGGCCUUGGUUUUAAUUCCUGUCACAGUAUAUUAGUUUUCGCUGUUGUGUAUUGAUUGAUUGAGACAGGGUCUCGCUCUGUUGCCCAGGCUGGAGUGCAGGGGCAUGAUCCCAGCUCACUGCAACCUCCACCUCUUGGAUUCAAGUGAUUCUCCCGUCUCAGCCUCCCGAGUAACAGGAACCACAGGUGUGUGCCAGCACGCCUGGCUAAUUUUUUUUUUUUUUUUCUUGAGGUGGAGUUUCACUGUUGUUGCCCAGGUUGGAGUGCAGUGGCACAAUCUCAGCUCACUGCAACCUCUGCCUCCUGGGUUCAAGUGAUUCUCCUGCUUCAGCCUCACGAGUUGUUGGGAUUACAGGCGCCCGCCACCACGCCCAGGUAAUUUUUGUUUAGUAGAGACGGGGUUUCACCAUGUUGGCCUGGCUGGUCUCGAACUCCUGACCUCAGGUGAUCCACCCACCUCGGCCUCCCAAAGUUGUGGGAUUGCAGGCGUGAGCCACUGCGCCUGGCCUAAUUUUUCAAUUUUUUGGUGGAGAUAGGGUUUCACCAUGUUGGCCAGGCUGGAGUUUUGCCUGUUCUAGAAGCUUGUAUCAGUCAUACAACACCCCUUUGAGGAACCGUUUGAGGUGUGGCACGAUACAGCAAGUCAGCUGCCAAAGAGGGGCUUAGCCACAGGAAGUGCGUGCCCAGAACGGUAAAGGGGCUGUGGCCUUUCUUAUCAUCUCCACUCCCUGUCCCCCCCAUCACCUGCUCUUCGUGCUUUGUGAUAAUUCAGUGAGCUCAUACUCAUGACCUGUGUCCUCCAGCAUCUCCCGUGUCCCUCACAGCAGUUCUAUGAGGCUGGCUGCCCUGUUUGACAACUGAGGCCCGCAUCUUCCCCGGAAUCACCGACGUGUGGCUCUGAGCCCUGUCCCAGGGAUUUUCUCCAUCAGAGAAGAGGAGCACUUUGAGCUUUGAGAGGAGCAGCCCUCUGCAAGUGAAGUGGAAAAAAAGGAAGCAGGCGAGGAGGCCCAUCCAGACCCUCCCCCAAGACCCUUGCUGAAAUGGCUGGGAUGCGGCGUGCAGAAGCUCUCCUUUCCUUCACAGCCCCUGGCUUUCCAAGAGUCCCUGCCCACCCAGAUGCCCGCUGGCAGAUGCAGCCUCAUCUCAAGGACACUGCUUGCUGGAUAAAUCCCUCACCACCCUAGAGACAGCCCACGGUCCUGAGACAAGGAUGCGGGCCAGGCUUGUUGCACGUAAGCGCCUCCCGCAGAAACCAGUGAGGCCGGAGUUCCAGAGGAAAUGAUGUAGGGACAGAGGCAGAGGGCCUCCAGGAGGCACCAGCCCCAGAGUCUUCCCUAGAAUCAGACUUUAAGCACAAGCAGGGAGGGAAAGCACUUGAGCAGUGCCCGUCCCUGCAUACCUGGCCUCUGCUGGAACCCAUGCAGGGACAGGACACUUCUUUAUCAGCAAUCCUGUUCCUCUCCUGGGCAGCUUCAACCUGAACAUCCUCCUUCACCUUGAGCUAAAAUGGGUUUCUUGUCACCCUUGCCCAUCAAACCUGGCCUUGCCCUCAGGAACCACACAGGACAAGCCUAAUACUUCCUUCUUGUGGCAACACUUUAGCAAUUGAGACCUGGCUGUCAGGUCCUCCAAAUAAACAUUUGUGACUGUGAUGUUGACUUGCCGCUUCUGGGGACCUCUUCUCAUUUGAUCGGAGAAAGUUUUUCAGGGUUAAACCUACUUCUUUCCCCCAAGAAACUCUUCUUGUCAGGCUCACGCCUAUAAUCCUGGCACUUUGGGAGGCCAAGGCAGGAGGAUUGUUUGAGACCAGCCUGGGCAACGUAGGUAGACUAUGUUGC